GUGAACGCUGGCGGUAGGCCUAACACAUGCAAGUCGCACGGCAGCACAGGAGAGCUUGCUCUCUGGGUGGCGAGUGGCGGACGGGUGAGGAAUACAUCGGAAUCUGCCCAGUCGUGGGGGAUAACGUAGGGAAACUUACGCUAAUACCGCAUACGACCUUCGGGUGAAAGAGGGGGAUCGCAAGACCUCUCGCGAUUGGAUGAGCCGAUGUCGGAUUAGCUAGUUGGCGGGGUAAUGGCCCACCAAGGCGACGAUCCGUAGCUGGUCUGAGAGGAUGAUCAGCCACACUGGAACUGAGACACGGUCCAGACUCCUACGGGAGGCAGCAGUGGGGAAUAUUGGACAAUGGGCGCAAGCCUGAUCCAGCCAUACCGCGUGGGUGAAGAAGGCCUUCGGGUUGUAAAGCCCUUUUGUUGGGAAAGAAAUCUUUCAGGCUAAUACCCUGGGAGGAUGACGGUACCCAAAGAAUAAGCACCGGCUAACUUCGUG
RNAcentral lists this ribosomal RNA (489 nucleotides) under uncultured bacterium. RNAcentral's name for it is "partial 16S ribosomal RNA". It matches the Rfam family "Bacterial small subunit ribosomal RNA", at positions 29 to 507 of the family's 1533-position model. The record is from RNAcentral.